CUCAAUCAAUGGACUAAUCUCUACGUUUCUGCUCAGGCGUGUGACAUCACCUGAAAUGUGCUGUGCUGCAGGUGUGGGCUCACCUGGGUUUUGGGGGUUUGGCUCCAGCACUUCAACCACCUUAGUCCACAAUCUGGGAACCGGUUCUGCUUCCUCACACCGUCACAUUUCGUUGUGAGCCCCCCGGCUGACGGUCUCCCGCCGUCUUUUCUGUUCGUUAGGAACCUUCUGCACCUUCAAGCGGAGAUGUCGAGUUCGUGAGAAGCAAAGGAUCAAAAAGAUGUGCGUGUCUGUGUGCUGCUUUUAGAUCCGUCUUCAUUCCUUCCCUGUCUUUCACCAUGUGGGGGGCUGGUUGGAGGUGACGCGGGAGGCCCACAUGCGGAGCGGCGUCGCAUCUCGGGCGCCGCUCCCGAGUUCCCUCCAAAGUUCACGGAACUCUUUCUUCUCUCUGACGAAUGUUCAGCGCCUUCGGAUCCGAUCGGCUUUCAUCACGGAGGAGGACGAGUGUAGUUGUGUGUGUCUGUCUGCGUGAAAUAUACGUGUGUGUGUGUAUAUUAAGAAUAUCUGUGCUGCAGCUUUUCGUCCCCCGCAGGUCACUUUUAUAUUUGUGUGAAUCUCUUCAAUGCGAAACAUACAAAGGAUUCUUCCUUUCACAGUCACAUGGCGAGCCCCACGUAGCGCUUAGCACGUAGCGCUUAGCACGUAGCGCUUAGCCCCUCUGGAUCUAUCAUUCUUUGGGCCGCUGGUUCUGUUAUUUUAAGCCUAGAUUUGUGUCCCUCGCAGAGAGUUUCACAGCGGAGGAUUAAGCUUCACCCCCGACUAAACUCAGUUUACCCCCCCAACAGAAAACCCAGACAGAAAUAUGCUUUUAUGUGCGUGAUGCUAAACCCCCCCCCCCCCCCUCUUCAUAAGUUUGACAACCACUAAUUAUCCAUCAGUUUUCCCUUUCUCAUUAUUUAAAGUUUUUAAAGUUUUUUUUUAAACAUUUAAACCCGUGUUAAAAGACACGUCUCCUCUUGCUGAAUGAUGCGAGUGCGAAUCCCGGUCGUUGCUCUUCUUUCGUUGGGACGUCUUCAUCUCGGGGGUCUUCUGGUCCGCGGCGGCGGCCUAUCGGCUCUGGGGGGGAUCAGCCCAUUUUCUCCGGUCUGGAGGAAUGUGUGAGAGCGGGUUCAGGGAGGAAGAACCGGAACCAAUGUCUGUGCCCUCCGCAUGUAUUUGUAUUGUUCCUUUGGCUCUGAGGGGGGGGGGGGGGGGCAAAUGUCUUACCAUCAGACACUGAUUAUUAUGUGAUUAAGGGACCCGGGGGGGCGAUGACUGCAGGAGGAACAUUAAAUUAAAAAGCAUUAUGGAGCAGAACUAAACACCAAAACACUGGGAAGUCCUGGUCCUCCCCCAGCGGGGCCGGGAGACGAGUGUGUGUGUGUGUGUGUGUGUGUGUGUGUGUGGGUGUCUCUGUCUGGAUCCGGUGAAAUACCGCGUGAGGCGUUCAGGCGCCAGCGUUGCCUUCAAGGUGUUGUUGCUUCAGGCAUCGCUGUGAAUUAAAGAAGAGAAAAGUUUUUGUUUUGUGCGUUUGUUUAUUCCCAAACUGCCACAACCUUCCCGUCUGCGUGGGUUUGAUUCUCUGUCCCGAGAGCUGGAGGAGGGGGGGGGGGAGAUAGAUGUGGAAUGAUACCCAAAACAUUCCCUCCCCCGUGUGGUCCUCCUCGUCCUGCUGAAAUCUUUCCCCCAUUCCGUCACCAUGAGCACACUAUCAGGCCCAAGGCCAGAGUUACAUAACCCGGGGGGGGUUUGUCUCCCCAUGUAACCCUCUCCCACGUGGAGAGAUGCUUUUUACCUUCUGGGUCAUAAUUAAAGGACUUUUAAUCCAAAAAAUGGCUCCAAAUUUCUCUUAAAAUCACCUUUGGUACCAAAAACAAAGGAAGCUCGUCAGCAGCACUAAAGUAAGAACAUUCAGAGCAUUGAGCCAUUUUGCAAAAAGACAUGUGACAUUUCUCGUCAUAAAUGAGGUGCAAAUACAAAAGAAACUUGAUUCCAACAACAUCAGUUUUUGAUAUUUGUCUGUUUUUUGUUGGAUGCAUCCACCUCGGACCAUCUGGGACCAUCUGGGUGCAUCUGGCCGUGGAGGGGCAGAACAAAUGUGGGAAGCCUGGGAACGCUGUGCAUCGCCCACAAUCCCUCCAAUGAGAACAGCUGUUGGCUCCUUACGAACAUCUCUGAUAUCAAACGCACGCCGUGUGAAUCAGCCUGCAAAGGAGAUCCCGGCACCCUCGGACGCCCUCGCCCGUCGUCCUGUCGCCUAGAGGACGUCGCCCCCUGCAGGACACCAGAGGGCACCUCUAGGACGCUGUCCUUGAUUGUCAGAAAGGCUCCUCUCGCUAUUUCACGGUGAAAGUUCAUCUUCUGGAGGUUUAAACUCUCUGUGGCGUCUUUACUUCACUUGGUUCGCUACGCUAACGGCUACAGAGCGUUUAGAGCCGUGGUAGCUGACAACACCUGUGUGUGUGUGUGUGUGUGUGAGUCUGUGUGUGUGUGUGAGUCUGUGUGUGUGUGCGUGGUGGAUCACAGUGUAAUCUCAGUUAUUUUUUGUGCAUCGGGUGUAAUCUGUGUUCCUCUACGCAAUCGGCAGGAAUCAUAAAGGAGCAGUUAAUAAUUACCCAUAAUCCUCAGAAUAGAGUUUCUGUGUCAAUGGCGCCUUUUUUCUGCAUAUUUCCUCCUUUUCUUUCUCUCUGUGGCCACGAAUGUUUUUAUCCUCC
Gasterosteus aculeatus aculeatus (three-spined stickleback) is the source of this 2753-nucleotide long non-coding RNA. The record is from Ensembl. Lineage: Eukaryota; Metazoa; Chordata; Actinopteri; Perciformes; Gasterosteidae.